This is a long non-coding RNA of Acinonyx jubatus (cheetah), 3786 nucleotides long. RefSeq lists it as uncharacterized. The transcript has 4 exons. Lineage: Eukaryota; Metazoa; Chordata; Mammalia; Carnivora; Felidae. The record is from RefSeq and is a predicted model, not a curated record.
UUGGCACGUUGAAGGUAUUCACUAGACAUGAGCUCUCAUCAGUAUGUAGCAGAAGAAAAAGGAAAGCUUUUCUUUCUAACAGAAAACCACAGCCUGCUUAGAAGCAAUCCCCAUAAUUGACCGUGGCAAAAGCUGUGAAGUAUCUAGAAGAUACUCUGCCCUGGAGAAAGAAGCACACGGUUUUCUCGACUGGGCUCUGUCCUGUGGAGCCAUCAGAGAAACACUCGGGAGGACAGCAAACAAGAUGCCAGCUCCCAGCCUCAGAUGACCCCAAGAGAAGAAUGAUGGGCCAGAAUGAGCACACCCAAGUUGAACAGAGAUUAAGUGUUUUGGUUUUGGUUCAAAGAGUCAAUUCCGGCUCCUGGAUUCAGAGAACUAAAACAGGAUGUGACUGAAACUGAGGCAGCGUACUUCCCCACCCCCAUACCACGCCAACGGGCACACUCAUCGUGCUGCAAGAGAUAACAAUCAGACUUUGGGUUUGUGGGAGAGCAAACCCUGCCACGUCUGCUCCCAGCUGAGAUACAGCUUAGUGAAUGUGGAGACUCGCCUCCAGGCUGCCUUUGGCCUUGAAAAGUAUGGAAGGAAAAUCCUCCUCUGUGACGGCGGUGAAUACAUGACUUUGACUUUAUUCCCCAUUUGUCACACUUCAGCCAUUUCUGUGCACAGCCAAGUGUGCAGGCUGCCCUUCUCCAAGGCUUACGGCACAGGGGGAAGUAACCUGGGUAGGUAGCUCGAAGGUCGUGAACACCCAGAACUGAGCUGUACCAAGACAUGGAAGGAGUUGGCAAGGUAUGAUAUGGCUGCUGCCUGGAUGAAACGAAAAGUUCCCUAGCAAGGAGAAUGAAAGGAAAGUGGGUUUUGAGCCCUAUCUAGCAGCCUGAUUUGUUUACGAUGUAAUUACGUUAAAGAUGAAAUCACACUGGAUUAGGAUGGGCUCUACAUCCAAUGACCGGUAUUCUUAUAAGAAGGCCACGUAAAGAUGCAGAGACACACAGGAAAGAAGGCCAUGUGAUGAAAGACAGAGAGAUUAGAGGGAUGCAAUCACAAGCCAAGGACUGCCAAGGACCGCCAGCAGCCACUGGAAGCAAGGGAGAGGCAUGGGACAGAUUCUUCCGUCAGACGCGCCAGAAGGAAACAACCCCGCCCAUACUCGGAUUCUGACCGUCUGGCCUCCUGAACCGUAAAAGCAUAAAUUUCUGUUGUUUUUAAUCACUCAGUUUGUGAUAAUUUGUUACUGCAGCCCUAGGAAACCAUCACAGGAAGCAAAAAAAUCUAGGCUGAAAAGAUUCUGAGUAGAAAGAGGAAAAGAGAGUUGGGGUUUCACAAGUUAGCCCAGACCGCAGUGAGCCCUGGGAGGGCCGCAGGCGGGGUGUGGCAGAACAGAGCUCUCUCCGUGGGGCAAGAAGACUGGAUCCUGAAACCCUAGGUUCUCAACUUCUGCAAAGGUCCCUUCAUGAGAGGGAGCAGGACCACAGCCACUCUGAAGGAGCUUUGCAGGUUCAGGGGACAGCCAGCGUCAGCUCUGGCCACCGGAGCACAGAGGGCUGUUCCCAAAUGCUGCUUCAGGAAAACCCCUAGGACCUCCAUACCAUCAAAAGAUGAUCACGUCAGAUUAGAAUGGAAUUUCCCACCAGCCCCAAGGAAAUGGGCGCAGAAUCAGAUUUAAGAUCCAAAAUGUGGCAUUUCUUAAACACUUGCAUUUAUAGAACAAUAUGCAUAUUCCCUGGGAGGGUUUUCAAGGAGACAACGUUCAAAUAAUCUUUACCGGUGAACCCUUUGGGGGUGUCUUUCUCAUCCACCAACCAGAGAAACCCCCAAGGGAUUUUAAGAGAGACAGACAGACAGUUACAAUACUCAGUCACUUACCUUUCUUGGAAGCUAAGCCAGUUUCCUUUACACUAUUCACAUAGAGCCUUCGAACGCCAUCUUCUUCCACAGAGGAAAGGGAAAAGCCUAGAAAACACAAAGACAGAAUGGUAGGGCUCACACCUUCUGAAUGUUUGCCAAACAACACGAAAUACCUGCUGUGAACUAAGUAUGUUCAAUGCUUGUGGUUACAGUUUGGAGCGAUUGUUUUUUUCCUUGUUCGUAUUAUUUUACAAAGCACAAAAAAAAUGUAUUUUUAGAUCACUCUAAAAAAGCCACUACUUGCAAAAAUUAACAUUACCAGGUACAUCUCUCCUCACACCACCUACCUAUCAACCCAAAUGGAAGAAAAUUAUUUUGUUUUACCUUGCUUGCUAGCAAAUGCCACAGUUUUAUUUUUUCCAUUGUCCCCUCCACAGUGCAAACGGGAUGAUUAGCAUAUCUCAACUGGGUCCUUCGGCUUUAUGCAGGCAAUCCUUGUCCUAAGAUAUGUUACACCUGAACAACUAUAUGGUAUGUGUCCAGACAUAUGUAUUGCUAUAUGGACACCGAGUUUAAUUUAAUAAAUCUCUGCAUAUGGGGAUUACGUAGUGACUUACUUUACAAAUCUUAUUUUAUACUCAAAUUCAUUGAUUGCACAUUCUACUAGAGUGUGAUCAUAAGAUUAUCUUAUACUUGUCCAGCCUUCCAGAGCCCAAAGCCCAUUACCUAAUCAAUCUUGGGCUUGCUACAUCCUUCGGGAAAAAAUGCAGAACCAGACCCUGAGUUUCCAGGUGGUUUGGGGAUCUGAGGGGCUUCUAAUUCCGUGGCCACAAGCCCUGGGCACCUCAGUUUCUAGACAGUCUCAUUACAAUUCUUUUCUGAUCAGGGUGACUGGCUGGCUCAGUCAGUGGAGCAUCCAACUCUUGAUCUCAAGGUCAUGAGUUCCAGCCCCAAGCUGGGUACAGAGAUUUUUAUUAUCUUUUUAAUGUAAAUUUAUUUAUUUUGAGAGAGGGUGAGACAGUGCAACAGGGGAGGGGAGAGAGAAAGAGAAAGAGAGAGAAAGAGAGAGACAGAGAGAGAGAAUCCCAAGAAGGCUCGGUGGAGAGCCCGACACGGGGCUCGAUCUCACGAACUGUGAGAUCAUGACCUGAGCUGAACUCAAGAGUCGGGAGGCUUAACAAACUGAGCCACCAGACACCCCGAGAUUACUUAAAAGUCUUUUCUGAUCUGUUAUCUCCUUUCCCUCAAGUAAGAGACUGUGGCAAACACCCCUAAAAGAGCAAUCAGAAUUAAUGCAGUUGUGAAGAUAUGACAUAAUUUCAGGUCUGGGAGAAGAAUAAUCCCCUAAUAUAGGUACUUACCUUAAGGGUGAAGGCAGAAAAAAAAUCACAGUGCUUUUGAAGAGCAAAUAAGCAAAUAACAACAAGACUGAAUAAUAAAUUACAGGACUGAGACCCAGGGAGUCAUCAAGACUUUUCAGGCCAUGUCAUAAAGAACAUGGGUUUUUCUGUUGAGUUCACAGGAUCAGGAAAUAGAUACCCACACUUAGGCAAAACUACCAACUGUCUUCGCCCACUACAGUAUCAUAACUCCCUCAGAUGGGGAAACACAGGCCAUACCCUGAGGACUUUCUGGUCUUUAUUUGACUCGUACUUUGAAUUCCAUUCUUACAGCAACUUGUAACGUUCAGAUUAUGUUUCAAGAAGACCCACUCAAAUCGGGGCCCCUGGGUGGCUCAGUUGGUUAAGCGUCUGACUCUUGAUUUCGGCUCAGGUCAUGAUUCGUGAAUUCGAUCCCCACAUUCGGAUCUAUACGGACAGUGAGGAGCCUGCUUGGGACUCUCUCUCUCUCCCCCCCUCUCUCUCUGUCCCUACCCUGCUCGUGCCCUCUCUGUCUCUCAAAAUAAACUUUAAAGUAAAAAAAAAAAAAAAAGAA